Long non-coding RNA from Argentina anserina (silverweed cinquefoil), 1049 nucleotides. RefSeq lists it as uncharacterized. The record is from RefSeq and is a predicted model, not a curated record. NCBI's taxonomy places the organism in Eukaryota, Viridiplantae, Streptophyta, Magnoliopsida, Rosales, Rosaceae. The transcript has 6 exons.
UGGUAUGUGAUGAAGGAAUUCGUUUUCUUUUUGUGGGUGUUUUAUUUGAUUUUAGUUUUGAUCUUGGCUUUUUUAUGUUGCAUGUCUUCUUCUUGAUGAGAUGAGAGUAAGUAAUACAAUCGAAGACGCGUGCAAGAAUUUGAGGAGGAACCAUAAGUCUUAUGAUUGGAUGUGAUUUGAUUUGUUUAUACGAGCAGUCUAAGCAAUAGCAAAAAGGAGCGUAGUGGUUGGUGCUUCUAAUUAUCGAAGGGCAAGAAGGUGAAUAGUGGAUUGUCAUUGAUUCUGGGAAAGUGAUAAUUCAUGGUCUUGAUAAGAUUGCUAGAGCGUAGAACAAUUUGGAGACCCUUUGGACUGAGAAAGAAUCAAUACAGAGGCAGGGUUAUUGUCAAGUAGAGAAGGUAUCUCAUGAUUUCUUCAGUCCCUGAGUCAGUCUUUGUUCUGUUUGCAUAACCAAAGGAAGAGAGGUCAUCAAGCAGAGAGAAACUCCCGACAGACAAAAUUGAAAUAGAUCGAAGAGAAGGAACUGCAUCAACAAGGGGUGUUGGAAGAAGGAUAAUCAAUUGAGUUCACGGUAUGAUUUCCAUGGUCAACCUGGGUAUAGAGGGGCAAAGUCGUCUUAUAAUCACCUAGGUAAUUUUGAUUCUACAUGUAAGGAAGAUCACACUAUUUUUUUCUAUUGUUAGACAUUUUUUGUUAUGUUUGUAUGUGAAGAGGUGUUCCAUUGUUACUGCAAUUUUUUCCUCUGUGGUUUUGUGGGAACUAAAAUCAAGUUUAAGUCAGGCAGUGCAUGUGGAACUUCUAAUUUUACACUAAUGAUGAGUAAAACUAAUGUAUAUAGGGCCAAACGUUUCUUAUUGUUGUAUAUUCAAAUUGUUUUCUGAGACCGGAAAUAAAAACUUGAACAUAGAAGUGCUUAGAUACAAAAGUUUCACGUAACAAGAUUUGAGCCUAAUGAUUAAUUGUAAAUGAUGGUAUCUGUGAAGUUUGAUGCUGGGUUGUAGAUCUACAAAAAAAAUGAAGAUAUUUGUGGGACAUGGAGAUAAUCAGUU